CAAUAGCGUAUAUUAAAGUUGUUGCAGUUAAAACGCUCGUAGUCGGAUUUCGGGGCGGGGCCGCCGGUCUGCCGAUGGGUAUGCACUGGCGGUCGCGUCCUUCCUUCCGGAGACUGGCCCUACUCUUAACUGAGCGGGGUCGGGAGACGGAUCGUUUACUUUGAAAAAAUCAGAGUGUUUCAAGCAGGCAGCUCGCUCUUGCAUGGAUUAGCAUGGGAUAAUGAAAUAGGACUUUGGUGCUAUUUUGUUGGUUUCGAACACCGAAGUAAUGAUUAACAGGGACAGUCAGGGGCACUCGUAUUCCGCCGAGAGAGGUGAAAUUCUCAGACCAGCGGAAGACGAACCACUGCGAAANCANNNGCCAGGGAUGUUUUCACNGA
RNAcentral lists this ribosomal RNA (380 nucleotides) under uncultured eukaryote. RNAcentral's name for it is "partial 18S ribosomal RNA". It matches the Rfam family "Eukaryotic small subunit ribosomal RNA", at positions 592 to 976 of the family's 1831-position model. The record is from RNAcentral.